AGCUCUACUCUAUAAAGGCAUUCGAGAAUGAUCAAUAAUAUCUCUUUCUACCUUCUCACCUCUCUCUCUCUCUCUCUCUCUUUCUCACCCCUAUCUCUAGUUCUUUCCUCAUCACCUUUCUAAUUCUUCCCUCAUCUAAGUGUAUUCUCCUUCUAAUCCCCAAUUCUUCUUCUUUUCUCAUCUCUAUUUUCUAUUCCCAGCCAUUGUGCUAACACUGUACUACCCCUAUCUAUAACAAACUUCUAUCUAUAACAACCCCUAUAAAAUCCAUACAGCUAUAGUAUUUUCCCACCCAAAGUCUUUAUGUAUUUUAUUUCCUCUUAUUUAUAUAUUUCUUCUUAUAAUACGUGACAAUAUCUUUUGACCUUUUUUCUUAAUUCAAUAAAAGAUUCAAAUGUUCAACAUUCCAUAAUUUAAAACUAAAAUGUUUGAUUGGGAAGUAUUUAAAAGGGGAUUGUAAGUGUACUUCAGUUUAUUUGGAAUGAAAAC
RNAcentral lists this long non-coding RNA (489 nucleotides) under Manihot esculenta (cassava). Its description in RNAcentral is "long non-coding RNA (MESC_LNC010748)". The record is from RNAcentral. Lineage: Eukaryota; Viridiplantae; Streptophyta; Magnoliopsida; Malpighiales; Euphorbiaceae.